UCACUGCCAGGGACGGCGACUCCACCACCUCCCUGGGCAGCCAUUCCAGUGCCUGACCACCCUCUUGAGAGAAAAAGUUUGUCCUAAUGUUCAACCUAAACCUCCUCUGGUACAACUUCUGGCCAUUUCCUCAGGUCCUACUAUUUGCCUGGGAGAAGAGGCCAGACUCUUUUUCAUCACAACCUCCCUUCAGGAAGUUGUAGAGUGCAAUGAGGUCUCCCCUGAGCCUCCUCUUCUCCACACUGAACAAUCCCAGCUCCCUCAGCCGCUCCUCAUAAGACUUGUGCUCCAGACCCCUCACCAGUUU
Tympanuchus pallidicinctus (lesser prairie-chicken) is the source of this 307-nucleotide long non-coding RNA. RefSeq lists it as uncharacterized. The transcript has 2 exons. The record is from RefSeq and is a predicted model, not a curated record. Lineage: Eukaryota; Metazoa; Chordata; Aves; Galliformes; Phasianidae.